CUUAAUGCAUAAGUCCCCGAAAGCUUAACAUUCAUCCAUAACAAGCAACAGAAAGAUCAAACACAGACGUAAAGAAGGUAGAACUAAGACGUAAGGUUUAGCCGGAUCUGAAAACACAGACAAAAAUCCAGCUAUAUAUCAAUACUAGCGUUUAAUGAGAAUGACAAAAACGGUUCAUUCCUGCAGAAGAUUGAUCCGAAAUGGUGUUAUAUUCAAACAAACAUUACUGCUUAAUUUUAAAAAAUAAUCAUUAAUUAUUUUCAAAAGCCCUCUAAGGAAACUAGUUAGCUAGCCAAAAAAAAAGUUUAAACCUACUAUUUCCUACAUAGGUUUUAUAACAACAAAUUUCCAUUUAGGUAGCGUUCAAAGUAAAGGGUCAUGCGCUAAUUCUGCAUUAUAGAACCUAAUACGCUACAGAUCCGGAAAAGGCUUGGAAUCACUACUAAGGAAAGAAAUCAGUAAAAUAACAGUAAUUCACUAAUUGCAAACAGUCACCUUUUGUUACAUUGCUUACUCUGCCAACAAACACACAUCAAACAAAAACUUGAGUCUGAUUAACUUUAACAUGAGCUUGAUGUAUUUUUAUCAACAUUUUAAAAUAAAGCUUUUGACUGAUUGUGCUUAAAGACAGUGCUGAAUACCAAACUUGCACCCUCUAAUCUCAUACACUGCCCCACAAAUUGCAGCAGUAAUUUUUUUCAAUAACUUUUACCCCACAUGCCCCAAAAGGUUGAAUUUAAAAGCACUCUGAUACCAAUGCUAGAACCCAAAAUAUAUGGAAAUAUUAUUGAUGAAAACCCUAGCAGGUAACAAGAGAGAGAUACCAAACACUCUCCCUAACCAACCAAGAGAGUGACCCAACACUCUCCCUAAACCCUAAUUCCAAAAUGAAUACAAAGAUACCCACCCUCACUCACUUCCUCUUAUUUAUAGGCAACAAGCCUUAUUAACCUUCUAACCAACUAACAAACUCACUAACACUUCUAAACUAACCAACCUCUAACCGUGAGUAUCUAUCACAAAUCUAUGAAUCGAUUCUCAACAGUCAAAAUCAAUUUUUUGGUGUUCACAAGUUUCCUUUCACAAUUAAUUCUAGCUUCAAAAUCAAUUUUUAGGAUGAAGCUACAAAACUAGCUUGUGUGGUGAAUCAUAAUCAAUUGUAUGGGAUUUCAAGAUUAUCCUACAGAAAUCAUUUUUCCAUAUCAAUAUAUUCAAUCACAAUUCUCUUCACUUUCAACUCACUUUUACCAUAAUCAAUUUUACCGAACUCAAUUCUAACAAUGCUAAUCCAAACAUGCAUAAAAGUACUGAAUAGGCAAACUGAUUAUUCAACACACACACGCAACAUCAAAACCAGCAACAUAUAAAUGACACUACACCAUCAACAGAUCUGACUAGUAGACAAAAAUUAUUAACAACAUACAUUGAACACCAAUUUGAGAUUCUUAUUAUUACAUUAAACAACAAUUCAAUUACACAAACACCGAAAUUCAAAUCAUGGUAAUUCAGAAAACACGAAUUCAAAUAGGAACAGCAGCAUAAUCCAGAAUUGAAAAUCAC
RNAcentral lists this long non-coding RNA (1560 nucleotides) under Lotus japonicus. RNAcentral's name for it is "long non-coding RNA (LJAP_LNC000956)". The record is from RNAcentral. Lineage: Eukaryota; Viridiplantae; Streptophyta; Magnoliopsida; Fabales; Fabaceae.